This 485-nucleotide ribosomal RNA is filed under the name uncultured bacterium. RNAcentral's name for it is "bacterial SSU rRNA". It matches the Rfam family "Bacterial small subunit ribosomal RNA", at positions 30 to 514 of the family's 1533-position model. The record is from RNAcentral.
AUUGAACGCUGGCGGAAUGCUUUACACAUGCAAGUCGAACGGCAGCACGAGGGCAACCUUGGUGGCGAGUGGCGAACGGGUGAGUAAUACAUCGGAACGUGCCCAGUCGUGGGGGAUAACGUAGCGAAAGCUACGCUAAUACCGCAUACGAUCUAUGGAUGAAAGCGGGGGGACCGUAAGGCCUCGCGCGAUUGGAGCGGCCGAUGGCAGAUUAGGUAGUUGGUGGGGUAAAGGCUCACCAAGCCUGCGAUCUGUAGCUGGUCUGAGAGGACGACCAGCCACACUGGAACUGAGACACGGUCCAGACUCCUACGGGAGGCAGCAGUGGGGAAUUUUGGACAAUGGGCGCAAGCCUGAUCCAGCCAUUCCGCGUGCAGGAUGAAGGCGCUCAGCGUUGUAACUUCUUUUGGAUGGGAACAUAACUCCGACUUGUCGGAACUUGAGGGUACCAUCAGAAUAAGCACCGGCUAACUCCGUGCCAGCAC